GGGCGCGUAACUCAGCGGUAGAGUGUCACCUUCACACGGUGAAAGCCAUAGGUUCGAUCCCUAUCGCGCCCA
Molecule: transfer RNA, 72 nt
Filed under: Myxococcales bacterium
Lineage: Bacteria; Pseudomonadati; Myxococcota; Myxococcia; Myxococcales
Description: tRNA-Val
Rfam family: tRNA
About the family: Transfer RNA (tRNA) molecules are approximately 80 nucleotides in length. Their secondary structure includes four short double-helical elements and three loops (D, anti-codon, and T loops).
Source: RNAcentral